GAGUAAAGAUUUCGGUCGCUUUGGGAGGAGCUCGCUUACUAUCAGCUUGUUGGUAGGGUAAUGGCCCUACCAAGGCUAUGACGGUUAGGGGGUGUGAGAGCAUGACCCCCAGCAUUGGCACUGAAACACUGGCCAAACACCUACGGGUGGCUGCAGUCGAGAAUCUUCCACAAUGGGGGAAACCCUGAUGGAGCGAUGCUGCGUGCGGGAUGAAGGCCUUCGGGUUGUAAACCGCUUUUGUAGGGGACGAAAUUUUUGACGGUACCCUUUCGAAUAAGAGGUUGCUAACUCUGUGCCAGCAGCAGCGGUAAUACAGAGACCUCAAGCGUUAUCCGGAUUUACUGGGCGUAAAGCGUCUGUAGGGGGUUUAUUAAGUUCCAAGUAAAAUUUCAAGGCUCAACUUUGAAUUCGCUUGGAAAACUAAUAAACUGGAGUCUAGCAGAGGUGCAUGGAACUUGUGGUGUAGGAGUGAAAUCCGUUGAUAUCACAAGGAACACCAAAGGCGAAGGCAUUGCACUGGGCUAGCACUGACCCUGAGAGACGAAAGCGUGGGGAGCAAAACGGAUUAGAUACCCGUGUAGUCCACGCCCUAAACGAUGAAUGCUAAAUGUUCGGGGAUUCGACCCCCUGGGUGUUACAGCUAACGCGUUAAGCAUUCCGCCUGGGAAGUACGGCCGCAAGGCUAAAACUCAAAGGAAUAGACGGGGAUCCGCACAAGCGGUGGAGCGUCUGGUUUAAUUCGACAGUAAGCGUGGUACCUCACCAGGGUUUGACAUCCCUUGACAGCCUUGGAAACAAGGUUUCCUUCGGGCAAGGUGACAGGUGCUGCAUGGUCGUCGUCAGUUCGUGCCGUGAGGUGUUCCGUUAAGUCGGGAAACGAACGAAACCCCUAUUGCAUGUUACAAUUUCUCAUGCAAGACUGCCCGGCUAUACUGGGGGGAAGGUGGGGAUGACGUCAGAUCUGCAUGGUCCUUAUACCCUGGGCGACACAGGCGCUACAAUGGCAGAGACAAAGGGUUGCAA
This 1023-nucleotide ribosomal RNA is filed under the name uncultured organism. RNAcentral describes it as "bacterial SSU rRNA". It matches the Rfam family "Bacterial small subunit ribosomal RNA", at positions 199 to 1252 of the family's 1533-position model. The record is from RNAcentral.